Molecule: ribosomal RNA, 433 nt
Filed under: uncultured bacterium
Lineage: Bacteria
Description: partial 16S ribosomal RNA
Rfam family: Bacterial small subunit ribosomal RNA
Source: RNAcentral
AACGAACGCUGGCGGCAUGCCUAACACAUGCAAGUCGAACGAGACCUCCGGGUCUAGUGGCGCACGGGUGCGUAACGCGUGGGAACCUGCCCUUAGGUUCGGAAUAACUCCCCGAAAGGGGUGCUAAUACCGGAUAAUGUCUUCGGACCAAAGAUUUAUCGCCUUUGGAUGGGCCCGCGUUGGAUUCGCUAGUUGGUAGGGUAAAAGCCUACCAAGGCGACGAUCCAUAGCUGGUCUGAGAGGAUGAUCAGCCACACUGGGACUGAGACACGGCCCAGACUCCUACGGGAGGCAGCAGUGGGGAAUAUUGGACAAUGGGCGAAAGCCUGAUCCAGCACUGCCGCGUGAGUGAUGAAGGCCUUAGGGUUGUAAAGCUCUUUUACCCGGGAUGAUAAUGACAGUACCGGGAGAAUAAGCUCCGGCUAACUCCGUG